GGGGAUGUCAUGGUUUCGACAGGGGUCAGCUUGGCUCUAGCUGCAGUCGAGUGGCGACGUAAUCGCCGAAAACAAAUUAUCUGGCAACAGAAAUUUAUCCUUCGCUGCUGCUUAAUUAGCACCUUUUACUAGGAACGGCUUCGGCCGAACAGCGCGCUUCCGGGGGUCUCGUCUCUUACGCUCCGGGUAAGUGCCAUAACGAGAGAAUAAGCCUGUUCUACGGUGAUGUGACAGGACGAAAACUUCAUCUCCUCGCAAGAAGCCCAUUUGUCGAUAUUGGGAACUUGUUAAACCAAAUAUCGUCUAAACUGUAGACGCUAUUGUGGGGCUACCUCUGGACCGGAGUUCGACUCUCCGCAUCUCCACCA
This 368-nucleotide transfer-messenger RNA is filed under the name Bacillota bacterium. It matches the Rfam family "transfer-messenger RNA". Rfam says of the family: Bacterial tmRNA, also known as 10Sa RNA or SsrA, is named for its dual tRNA and mRNA-like properties. Its role is to liberate the mRNA from a stalled ribosome. The record is from RNAcentral. Lineage: Bacteria; Bacillati; Bacillota.